Long non-coding RNA from Apis dorsata (giant honeybee), 856 nucleotides. RefSeq lists it as uncharacterized. The transcript has 3 exons. Lineage: Eukaryota; Metazoa; Arthropoda; Insecta; Hymenoptera; Apidae. The record is from RefSeq and is a predicted model, not a curated record.
UCUAGGCCACUAGAGAAGACUGACGAAGAUGGCACCGCUGUCGCUGUCAACUAAAAAGUUCCUAGCCGAGUAACAAGCAAUGGCUCGAAAUAAAUAAUGCGCGCACAUCGGUGCACGUGUCCCCUGGGUGCUUUUCGACGAGGGGAUGAGUAACGUUCAUAGGGACUCGGUGAUGAAUCGUGGUCGGUUUCGCAAAGCGAUCACAUCGAUCCUGGCAAGUGGAACAAGACUGGUUCGAGAAUUAAACCACUGUGAAAAGUCGGUGAAAAUGGAAAAAGAAAACGCAAUCUUGGCUUCACUUGGCUCCUACCAUACUGAAUUUAUCCGACACUUUAUUACUGGAAAAUAUAAAAUGAAUUAAAGCUGAAUGGUUUAUAUAUAAUUCUAACUUUUUCAUUGCAUCAAACGAAAUGGUGGAUCGAAAGAGGCAACGAAAUAAGUUUUCUCCUCGCAUUUAUGAAAAUACGAACGCGCAAAAAAUUCGAUGGGAUUCGAUGGUCGAAUAGGUUAAAAGUGUGUCCGGCUAUUUUCGACGGAAAAAUUUGACGGCUGUGGUCGAAACUUUCGGAUCUUUUUACACAGUAUUGGUUUUAUUUAAUGUCGAAGAGGGACUCUGAGUAUCAUUUUAAAACCAUAAUGAUAAAAAUGGUAACGAUAAAACUGAAACUGAAAACCUUUUCUUUUAUCGAACCAACCAUUAUGAUGUGAUUUGUGGAUUAUGCAACAGAAUUGACAGAAUUAUUACAUGAAUAAAUAAAUACGAUAUUACGUUGAAAAUAACGUAAAAUAUAACUAUGUUUAAAUAUGUUUUCUAGCGAAGUAAGUAAACUAUUUAACGUGUAAUAAAGUGUUUCGU